AUAGUCAAGCGACUUAUACGAUACUAUUAUUAUAUAGUAGAUUGCGGGUUCGUAGAGGAACCUUUUUGACUUGAGAUUGAGAUUUGUUAAACGUGGUUGCUGAUAAGGGACGUGAAGCUAGUUAGCUCCAGUUGGUUUAAAGAGUGCGUUGGAUCUCUUUCGAUUUAAUAAGACUUAAAAAAGACUUCCGUUGUUAUUUAUUUGACUAUAAGAUUUAUGUUCUGGUUUGUAAUAAUUAAUUUACAUUCUAUUUAGUUGUUAUGUAAUAAUUAGUUAAAACUUAUUGUUUAUUAUUUUAGUUAGUUACAUUAGCCCUGCAGUUAUCAUGAAUAAUUAUCAAUUCGUAGCA
Long non-coding RNA from Beta vulgaris subsp. vulgaris (sugar beet), 349 nucleotides. RefSeq lists it as uncharacterized. NCBI's taxonomy places the organism in Eukaryota, Viridiplantae, Streptophyta, Magnoliopsida, Caryophyllales, Amaranthaceae. The record is from RefSeq and is a predicted model, not a curated record. The transcript is spliced from 2 exons.